RNAcentral lists this ribosomal RNA (253 nucleotides) under uncultured bacterium. RNAcentral's name for it is "partial 16S ribosomal RNA". It matches the Rfam family "Bacterial small subunit ribosomal RNA", at positions 524 to 776 of the family's 1533-position model. The record is from RNAcentral.
UACAGAGGUCUCAAGCGUUGUUCGGAUUCAUUGGGCGUAAAGGGUGCGUAGGCGGCGCGGUAAGUCGGGUGUGAAAUCUUGGAGCUUAACUCCGAAACUGCAUUCGAUACUGCCGUGCUUGAGGACUGGAGAGGAGACUGGAAUUUACGGUGUAGCGGUGAAAUGCGUAGAUAUCGUAAGGAAGACCAGGGGCGAAGGCGGGGCUCUGGACAGUUCCCGGCGCUGAGGCACGAAGGUCAGGGGAGCAAACGGG